GGGGCCACUAGUUUACCAGUUGUCUGGCAAGGCAAUGCUGGGUAGCCACGCCCUGAAGGAUAAGAGCUGAAAGCAUCUAAGCUCGAAGCCACCCCAAAGACGAGACACCUCAGAACGCUCGUAAAAGACGAGAUGAUAGACAGCGGAUGUAAGUACGAAGCUUCGGCGACGUAUUCAGUCCAGCUGCACUAAUGUUCGAGCAUCUUUUUUC
This 211-nucleotide ribosomal RNA is filed under the name Candidatus Poseidonia sp. RNAcentral's name for it is "Poseidonia sp. partial 23S ribosomal RNA". It matches the Rfam family "Archaeal large subunit ribosomal RNA", at positions 2772 to 2987 of the family's 2987-position model. Lineage: Archaea; Methanobacteriati; Thermoplasmatota; Candidatus Poseidoniia; Candidatus Poseidoniales; Candidatus Poseidoniaceae. The record is from RNAcentral.